UUUUUUAGGAUAUGGACGAAUGUUGGAAUGUUUGAUGAUGUAUGAUUGAAUUGUUUCCAGGAUUUUUAGAUAAAUCUUUCUCAGGUUUUUUAAAAUAAAAACAUGCCGAUCAAAGAACGCAGUAAUCGAGUACUAAAUAAAUAAUGUUCAAUAAAAAAAGGCAACGUCUGCAGCAGUAAUAAUUUGUGAUACGGAUACGAAGACGGUCUCAAGAAAGUUCUAUCAUCAACUUCGCGAAAAAUUAGGGGACUUGGGAGACAUAGAAAUCAUUUCCGACUGCUGAAAAGGCGAAUGCUUUUAACGUAAUGUGCGGUUCCUUUGAAAUGGUGGUGUGGAGGGUGCUCGAUUAAGGGCGGUUUUCUUUGGCAGGAUCGGAAAGAGAAAGAGAGAGACGAAGAGAGAGAGAAUAAGAGAGAAACGAAGAGAGAGAGAGGGAGA
Molecule: non-coding RNA, 438 nt
Organism: Megalopta genalis
Lineage: Eukaryota; Metazoa; Arthropoda; Insecta; Hymenoptera; Halictidae
Source: RefSeq, a predicted model, not a curated record